Molecule: ribosomal RNA, 460 nt
Filed under: uncultured bacterium
Lineage: Bacteria
Description: partial 16S ribosomal RNA
Rfam family: Bacterial small subunit ribosomal RNA
Source: RNAcentral
CCUACGGGGUGCAGCAGUGAGGAAUAUUGGUCAAUGGACGAGAGUCUGAACCAGCCAAGUAGCGUGAAGGAUGACUGCCCUAUGGGUUGUAAACUUCUUUUAUAUGGGAAUAAAAUGUUCCACGUUUGGGAUUUUGUAUGUACCAUAUGAAUAAGGAUCGGCUAACUCCGUGCCAGCAGCCGCGGUAAUACGGAGGAUCCGAGCGUUAUCCGGAUUUAUUGGGUUUAACGGGAGCGUAGGUGGAUUGUUAAGUCAGUUGUGAAAGUUUGCGGCUCAACCGUAAAAUUGCAGUUGAAACUGGCAGUCUUGAGUACAGUAGAGGUGGGCGGAAUUCGUGGUGUAGCGGUGAAAUGCUUAGAUAUCACGAAGAACUCCGAUUGCGAAGGCAGUUCACUGGACUGCAACUGACACUGAGGCUCGAAAGUGUGGGUAUCAAACAGGAUUAGAUACCCCAGUAGUC